Long non-coding RNA from Wasmannia auropunctata (little fire ant), 1451 nucleotides. RefSeq lists it as uncharacterized. The record is from RefSeq and is a predicted model, not a curated record. The transcript has 2 exons. Lineage: Eukaryota; Metazoa; Arthropoda; Insecta; Hymenoptera; Formicidae.
AACACUCGGCUCGCUCGGCUGACGACACGCAAUGGAGCGGGCGUGUUUAUAACGGCGUCUCUUAUUUUGAUCAAUGUGGUAAUCGUGAGCUUAACGAUCGCGCUUCGCGUACGUCGCUUGCUUUCGCGUCAAAAAUCAUCGCGAUUGUGCGUCUCCUUCCGUCGCGGUAGAUAAAUUCCCGCGUACAGACGAGAAAAUCGAUUAUUCGUCAUUAAUUAACGCGAUCACCAUUAAUUAGCGCGUGAUCGCCGUUAAUCGCGGCGCGUCUCAGGCCGUUCGAAACCCUCGCGGAAUUAAACCUCCCUUCACGGCGUACAAGAGACGUCAAGAUGCUCCAUUUAUCAAGACACUUAUCGUAUUAUUGGGGUCGCUUUUCGGGAGGGGGGAGGGGGGACGCCGAAAACAUCGAAUGGGUGCCCUUUCGAAGGGUAUUCAAUGGACAAUUAAUUGUUUCCCCGAUUCUCGAGGCGCUCGAUUUUGGGGGUUAACGUGUCGCGCGUUGUGAAGUUGCCGCAAACGGUGGAAUUUUUCCUACGUGACAACGCGUCAGCGUCUGUAGUCCGUAAUGAACGUCGUGAGUGGGUGAGUGUGUGCGUGUGUGUACAAGUGCGGUAAGUACGGCGCGGACAAGCGUGCCAUGCUUUCGCGUUGCUCGUUUGCACGUUGCUCCGGAGUGCGUCGCGCAUACAAUAAGCGUGUCGGGAGUGUCGGGGCAAAGUGGCGAGCUGUCAUUCGCGCCCGCGUUAAUUAGCGCGCGGCAUCGCGGUAAUUAGCGAUUUUCCGAGCAGAUCCAUGUCUAGGGGCGCGAACGUUCGGAACAAUGGAACGGCUUUCGCAGGAAGACGACGAUAUCGGACGCGGAUGUGUCGCGGCUGACGAGUUAUAUUUAUGUCUAUUGGAGUCUAAAGUUUGAGCAAUGUGGUCGAUUCAAUUUCUAAGAUAAGGUGUGUGAUAAGGCAGUGUCCGAGUGCACCAACCAAUCGAAUAACGGCAAGGGAGAAAGGAAACGGGCCAGUCGUUGAAAAGACUGCACUUAACGCGGCGGAUAUAUAUCGCUCUGCAGGAUGGGGUGGAAGUGAAAUGUGGCCGCGCUUACCGGACCGGCUAAACGUACUAUUUAUUGUUCGGUCGUCGGUUUACUUCAGAGAUUCUGCGCCCUUCGUAAGGACGCGUAUUUACCAACCAACAACCAAAAUUGCUUCCAUUCAAAUUAAAUGCCUAACGCGACAGACAAUCGUAAUGCCUUUCCGAACUCAACAGUAUGUUGACACAUUUACAAAUUAUUUAAAAAAUUAUACUAACCGAACAGCGACAUAUUCGCUUGAUUUAUACUGAUUUCUUAUCACUGUCAUGUAGAAAUCUAUUUAACUCUAAUCGACUCGUUAUCUAUACUUUUUAUUCUAUGUAACCAAUUAAGAAAAAAGAAACAAUUAUUCUUCUUUUAUAAAAAA